AAUUUACCAUUCAGAAUCAAAAGUUAAGUGAGAACCAUUAUCUUUUUCAGCCCCUCCACCUGAUGACUCACAUUAACAGGGAAGGAGAUGAAGGCAUUCAGAUUUGGCAUGGCAUCGUCAUUCUACUGACAAGCCAUGGCCCGUUAACAAAAUUUACCAAGGACCACUGUUCUUUGCUGCGACAUUGGCUGGGUUUUGCUGACCACAAUACCAUUUGAACUGGAAAUGUUGUUGCGAGAAGAAUCCGUCUUGGGAUACAAGCCUAAUAGCAAGAUCAGAGGGCAUGGUUCCCACGAAGGCUGUCCAAGGGAGAUUCAGCAACCUACUUGAUCAGCAUGGUUUCAAGAUCAUUGGGCUUGGGUGUCACGGGGGCCUGGAGAAACCAUCACGUUGCAUGGAUGCGCGGAGACACUUGUCACCCCUGGAAUGCCUGCUGUGAACAAGAGCUUGGGCUGAACCAAGCUAAGAUUAUUGACAAUCCCUAUCAUGUUGCCAACGUCACCAAUGGCAGGACUGAAAAUGGAUCCAUUGGAAACUAAAGGCUUUUCCUCAGCCAACACCUCAUGAACUAGACUGGAAAAUAGCACAGGUGAUCAAGACUGAUACCGCACAAUCGUCCUCCUGGUUAACAAGCUAAGACCAAUCCAGAUGGGGAGGGUUGGCCCUCCAACACCACUACCAAUGCUCUCAGCUGGGAUCAGUGGACUGCAGCAAUAUCUUACUGAAGACAAAGAUGAGGGAAUCUACAAUGUUGAUGCAAGAUUGUGUCUUUGACUACCAAGCUUUGGUUCACCAGUAGGUCCUCGGAUGGUAAAGUUUGGACACAACAUCCUGAGCAUGAAGAAUAUUCUGAAAGACAGCACAAACAAUAUUUGGACAUUCAAUUUUUCAGCUGAGAAGGACCUUUUUUCAAGUUAGGACUAAAGCCCCUGGGCCUGCUUUAGGCCUAUAACUGUAGUUUGUGCUCUGUAGUAUGUGAUUUGAAAAGAUUGGA
Molecule: long non-coding RNA, 994 nt
Organism: Lineus longissimus
Lineage: Eukaryota; Metazoa; Nemertea; Pilidiophora; Heteronemertea; Lineidae
Exons: 5
Source: RefSeq, a predicted model, not a curated record